GGUUCAUCAUCAUGCCACUAAAGCUUAUUUUUUCCUGCUUAGGACUAAUGUUACUCCAGAAGUGAUGGUUACUGGUACUUGAUAGGGUCCAUCAUGGAGCAGUAAUCCAGGAAUCCAGCAGGGAGCAGGAGAGGAUCAUUUUGCAUCCAUCAGCUCUCAGUGAAAUCCUAAUAAUGAAGGUCAGAGGAAAUGAUUCACUUGUUAUCAGGUUUGGAAUAAAAGGUGUGAUUCCAGAGGGAAAUAUUCACCUGUUAAAAUUCUGUUGGAUAAAGGAAAAGAGGGAGGAAGAAGCUGGGGAAUGGACAGGUGGAUUUUUGGUGGAUACAGGGAUAGACAUGGGAAGGGGCUCUUAGGUAAAAUAUACAUCAUGGGUACCACCUUGAAAAGCCCCAACUGCUCUUCUUUCCAAGCUCUGACAUUCCAGAGGGGUAACCAGUGGUUAGUAUAUUCAUUUCUAUAUUCAUUGGAUGCCCAGUGCCUUGUUGGGAAGAGAUAAUAUUAGGAAAUGAACAAAUGCAGGGAUGUAAUUCCUGAUAGUAAAGCCCUGAGGGCCCAGGCUUUGAUAUUCUUCUAGCAACCAAUCCCAACAUAGGGAAUCCUGGAGGAGGUGGAAAAUACUGUCAGUCUGUUGGUGGAAUUCCUGGGAAAUUAAAAGCAGCUGAAGCAGUAAGAACAGAGCUGGAACCAGACUUCAGCCAGGUAAGGCAGACACCAAAUCCUUUGGAAUUAGAGGUAGGCAGGGGAAAGAAGAAUUAACUGCUAAAUUUGUACCCCAUGGAUUCCUGAGCAUGAUCCCAGCAGGGAAACUCUACGAGAAGACCUACACUGGGGACACUGGGCCUUGGAAUUGUCUGAAAGCACAAGGAUCAGCUGCCAAAUGUGGAGGUGUUAUCAGACAAUCACUCAGGAGUGUUUAGCUCCUAAGGCAAAUCAAUCUCCUGCCUUGUGAAGCUCAGAAAUCUGGGAAGACCCCAAGUAAUGUAGGGAAUGGACUGGCAGAUAAAACUGCUGGGGAAUGGUAAAGAAAAACAUUCUAAUAGGGGGGCUUAUUUUGUACAGGAAUUGUGCAAAAAUUGUCCAAAAGAUCAGGAAUCAAACUGGAUUGACAUAUUUCUUGGACACCACAAUCCAGUGGGAAAGCUAAAAGAAAACCUAAGAAAGCAAAUGACCCAAAUCUUCCAAAACCCUCAAAUGGCCACAUUCCCUAGCAUUGCUGAGGACUUCAGCCAAGCUCCAAGAAAAAGCCUAACCAGUAACCUGGGAUAUCCAAGUCCAUCCUACCCAGUGGGGAGGCUGGGAGUACAACCAAACAUGGAGAAUUUCUGGGAAAGCCCUGGAGAAGAAACAAGGCUCCAGCUUUGCAGGUCUGUGUCAUAACCCAUUCUGUCAGCCACUCCUGUUUGAUCCCAGUGGAUUUGUCCUCUUGUAUUCAACCUCAGCAGCACUAAUUGCUGGGAAUUAAGCAGCCUUUGGUACUUCUUUUCCAUAAAACCUCUCCAUCCCACCCUUCAGUUCUGUUGUGCAGAGAGGAAAAACCCAAAACUUCUUUUUUUCCCCUCUCCCCUUCCCUUUGCCUCUUCUUUUUGUGCAGGCUUUGGGCUAUCCAGUUGUGGAUGUGGAUUAGGCAGAGCACCUUGGAAGCUGAGCUCAAUGUGGAAUUGGAGCAGUUUUGGAACCACCACGGAUACUCCCAAGCUCAAGACUAAGGUGGUGUUCCCUGAGGGGCUGCAGGUCCCUGGAUGUGGAGGGAGGAGGUCUCUGCUGGAGACUGGAGAAAUGUCCCUGCUGGUUGCUGGGUCCUCGGUGGGCAGAGAACUCUGAUCUCAGCAAGAUGUGUUUGUGAGUAUUGAAUCAAUCCUACCUCCUUUUUAAUGAGUUGUUUUAAUUAGUCAUCAGCAGGGAACACUUUUAGCCAGCUUUAGUUAAGUUUCUUUUUCACAGAUUUCUUGCUGUUUUGAUCAUGAAAUCACCAAAACCUUAAGUUUGCUAAAUAAACCCUGAAAU
Parus major (Great Tit) is the source of this 2004-nucleotide long non-coding RNA. RefSeq lists it as uncharacterized. Lineage: Eukaryota; Metazoa; Chordata; Aves; Passeriformes; Paridae. The transcript is spliced from 3 exons. The record is from RefSeq and is a predicted model, not a curated record.